RNAcentral lists this long non-coding RNA (866 nucleotides) under Cricetulus griseus (Chinese hamster). Its description in RNAcentral is "lncRNA (ENSCGRG00015036847.1)". Lineage: Eukaryota; Metazoa; Chordata; Mammalia; Rodentia; Cricetidae. The record is from RNAcentral.
CUCAUAUUUAAGCAAGGAAGCAGGAAGUGGUUCCUUUCCCUUUUGCUCUUCUUCCUGCUCUCUGCUGUGAGCCAUCAUGUGAUCCUGGGGAUGAAGAAGCCAGCGGAAGGUGUCUGAUAAGGGUAUCUGUCCCGCGCGAUCGUCUCGCCAGCAAGAAUGACACAGGACACUCAGAUCCUUCUGCAGUAAAGCUUUAAUGCAUCUUGAGAGACAGAUGAUCAGCUUCCGAUUAGGGAGACCCCGAGCCAAGAAUCCCGUCCCCUUAUAAAGGCUCAUAAGCUCCGAGCAGUGCGUGUACAGCUGGGAUAGGUGGAGAACUCAUCACCCUAUAUGACGCCACUGGAGAGGCAAGAUGAGGCAAGUGGAAAAACACUGGGCACAUGCGCACCAACGUUGUUUACUUGAUCCAGCAGCGGAUGUCAGCGCCAUCUUGUAAUGGCGAAUGUGAGUGCGGCUCCUCACAGUAGGUAAACCUGUGGGACAAUUUCCUGAAUAGUGAUUGAUAUGGAGUUCCAAGCCACUAUGUGUGGAUGCCACCCUUGGGCGAGAGAUUCUGGGGUGUACAGGAAAGAAAAUGGAACAAACCAGAAGGAGCAAGUCAGUAAGCAGCACUCCUCCAUGGUCUCAGCUUCAGUUCCUUUCUUCAGCUUCCUGCCCUGCUUGAGUUCCUGUCUUGACUCAUCUCAUUAAGGUCUGGAAGGAAAAAUAAACUCGUUUCUUCAAAAGUUCCUUUUGUCGUGAUGCUCUAUCACAGUAAGAAAAAAUAAAUUAAGAUACUGACAAUAGGCAUACUAUUCUUGGAAAUCAGAUAUUUGACUAAGAUAAUAAAUUGGGGACUGGAGAGACGCUUGGCAGUUAAGAUUUCA